RNAcentral lists this ribosomal RNA (462 nucleotides) under uncultured bacterium. RNAcentral's name for it is "partial 16S ribosomal RNA". It matches the Rfam family "Bacterial small subunit ribosomal RNA", at positions 29 to 507 of the family's 1533-position model. The record is from RNAcentral.
AACAAACGCUGGCGGCGUGCCUAAUACAUGCAAGUCGAACGGGGAAAGCUUUCGGGUGAGUACUAGUGGCGCACGGGUGAGGAACGCGUGGAUAAUCUGCCUUAGAGUGGGGGAUAACUAGUCGAAAGAUUAGCUAAUACCGCAUAAGACCACGAGAGCUGCGGCUUUUGAGGUCAAAGGUUUUUCGCUCUAAGAUGAGUCCGCGUAAGAUUAGCUAGUUGGUGAGGUAACGGCUCACCAAGGCGACGAUCUUUAACUGGUCUGAGAGGAUGAUCAGUCACACUGGAACUGAGACACGGUCCAGACUCCUACGGGAGGCAGCAGUAGGGAAUAUUGCACAAUGGAGGGAACUCUGAUGCAGCGACGCCGCGUGAGUGAUGAAGGCCUUCGGGUCGUAAAGCUCUGUCGCAGGGGAAUAACACAAUGAAGGUACCCUGUAAGAAAGAAUCGGCUAACUUCGUG